CUGCAGGUGUGUCCAGGUGUGGGUUCGUUGGGUCAGCAGAGGAUUUAACGGGACUUUGUGUCGGUUUGAGUUGUUUUUAAAGGAGGAUGAAGACGCUGGUGGUGUUCCUGCUCCUCAUGAACGUUUCCCAGCAUGCCUCAGCUGUGGAGAUGUAUGAGGGGGACUCGUUCAUCCUGCCCUGUCAGUUUCCCACUUUUAAUUUUCCAAACCCCUCAGUGGUGUGGAGUCACUCCGACCUCAGUCCUCCAACCGUCCACCAGCGUCAGCUUGAAGGAGACGAACUGAAAGAUCAAAACCAGCGUUACAGCGGCCGAACAUCCAUGAAGACUGACGCUCUGGAAACUGGAGACCUCAGCCUGACCCUGACCAACCUCCAACUGUCUGACAGCGCCACCUACACCUGCUCCAUCAGAGACUUUGGACGUGAACUGAGUCGGAGUGAUGUACAGCUGGAGGUCAAAGAACGGUUUCCAUCCUGGGCCAAAGCUCUCCUGGUUCUCCUGGUUCUUCUUGUGGUUUCCGGAGGACUUUUAUUUCAUUUCCGGCACUAUUUCAUGUCAGUCCCCUGGGUGGAGGUGGAUUCAGGGGUGGAGUCUGUCCAGCUGAUCUGCAAAACCACAGUUUGCCUGCCUAAAGAUGAUAAAGUGGAGUGGAAGGACAAAAACAACAGGAAGGUCCACGUGUAUGAGAACGGCUCUGACCAGCCUGAAGAACAGGACGAUAAAUACAAGAACCGAACGAAGAUGAAGAGGAAGGUCCUGGAACCUGGAGACCUCAGUCUGACCCUGAAAUACCCCACAGAUGGAGACAACUCCACCUACACCUGCACCGUCUACAGCAGGGAGGGAAACACCCUGAUGGAGAAACAAGUGGAGCUGAAAGUCAGAGUCCCCCAGGUGGAGGUGGAUUCAGGGGUGGAGUCUGUCCAGCUGCCCUUCAACACCACACUUCACCUGCCUGAAGACACUAAAGUGGAGUGGAUGGAAAGUUACAGGAAGGUCCACGUGUAUGAGAACGGCUCUGACCAGCCUGAAGAACAGCACCAGGAUUACAGAGACCGAACGAAGAUGAAUGAAGACCUGCUGAAAACUGGAGACCUCAGUCUGACCCUGAAAUACCCCACAGAUGGAGACAACUACACCUACACCUGCACCGUCUACAGCAGGGAGGGAAACAUCCUGCUGAAGAGAAAGGUGGAGCUGAAAGUCAGAGUCUGUCAGGUGGAGGUGGAGGAGGGGGCGGAGUCUGUCCAGCUGCCCUUCAACACCACACAAAACCUGCCUGAAGAUGCUGAAGUGGUGUGGUGGCAUUAUGAUCCAUUAAUGUUGGCCCACCUAUAUAAGAACGGCUCUGACCAGCCUGAAGAACAGCACCAGGUUUACAGAGACCGAACGAAGAUGAAUGAAGACCUGCUGAAAACUGGAGACCUCAGUCUGACCCUGAAACACCCCACAGAGAGAGACAGUGGGAGAUACAGGUGUAGAGUCUACAUUGAGAGGAUCUCCAGAUUCAAAACAGUGCUGCUCAAGGUCAAAGGGAGAGUUCAGGUCCAGGAUCAAACAGGGGACAUCAGGAACAGAAGCAGCUCCAUUGAUCCGACUCCUCUGAUGGCUGAUCAAUCAGUUUGAUCUGUUCUCAUCCACAUCACAUCUUAUGUCAUCUAGGGCAAUACACCUAGGAAAGAAUCUUCUGGCAUGCCUGAUCCAUCCCUGGCAAUCUUCUGCUGAUAUCUCCAGGCAUCCAGCAUUCAUUGCAUCCAGGAGGGACAUUUGAUCAUGUGGAUGAUGGUCGUAAACCUUCCACCGCCAUGAGGAAAAGAAUUCCUCUAUGGGGUUGAAGAAUGGAGAGUAAGGUGGGAGGAAAAGAGACUCCAUUCUGGGAUGGGCUGCAAACCACUCGGUGACUGCACGGGAGUGAUGAAAUGCCACCUUGUCCCAUACAAUUAUAAAUGUUGGCUGAUUCCUUCUAGAGAUGGACCGAUCCGAUAUUACGUAUCGGUAUCGGUCCGAUACUGACCUAAAUUACUGGAUCGGAUAUCGGAGAGAAAUAAAAAAUGUAAUCCGAUCCAUUAAAUAUCAAAAAAACACCUCACAAAACUUGCCACACGGCGUAACUCUGCUCAUAACCGUAGCACGUCAGAGCAGUGUGCUCACGUGAUAGAGAGGCUGUGUGUAUUUGUAGCCUCGCUACCAAACCAGCAUUUCAUCUCCGAGGAAGUUAUCCCAGAGAGAAGUAAAGCAAGUGUGUAAGUUCAUCUCUGAAUGUUUAUAAAGCGUUCCCACGUUAAGCUUAACAACCGAUAUAUGGAGCGACUGCCUCUCUCCCUCACCUUCCUGCUGCUACUUCAAUGGUGAAACUGCUUAAUGAUCAGCUGAUGGGCUUUUCUGUCGCGAGUCCGUCUCUCUUCUUUGUAUUUGGUCCACUUUGCACCAGAAAGAGGAAACCAGCGGCUGAACAACAGCAGCACGUUUAACCUUGAUAAGCUGUUGUUAGAAUUUAUUUAAUAUUACUUUCUACACCAGGAUCCUUUUCUACGUAGCUGACGGCUGGUAACUGUGCAGGGGCGGAUCUAGCAAAGUUUAAGCAGGGGGGCCGAUAGGGCAUGAACAGGGAAAAGGGGCACAAAGACAUACUUCUCUUUCUUAUUCUCAUUUAAAAUGUCUAGCUUUUAAUAAAUAAUUAUCUGAAUCUUACACCCAAAGUUUUAAUCUGAUGUAAAAUGUAUAGAAGUCCAUUACUGUAUAUAGUAACUGCUAAGUCUAAUUUACCCUAGUAAGCUAUAGUACUUUUUCCUUUGGGAAGGUACCAUCUGUGAAUUCUGCAAUUCUGUUGAAGAAAGAUGUUGAAUCUAUUUAAUUAUUCUUGAAAAAUAAUUUAUUUCUGUGCAUUUUUUUUCACCCUGCAUCAAAUUAAAGUUGAUUACGUCGAUUAAGCAUCAUGAGGUGGAGGGUGGAGGGUGGUUCCCCAUUUUCUUUUGCUGCACUGUAAAAUGUAAUUCUAGAUGUUUGUUAUUUCAACAUAUUAUUCUAUAUCAGUUUGACGAUAGAUGACUGAAGUUGUUGUUAUAACAUAGAAUUACAAGUUAAAACGUCCCAAUUACACCAAAAAGCUAACUUGAAAACUCAUGUCCAGCUAAAUCAGCAACUUAUGUGAACUUGACAAUGUGGGUAAGUUGAGCACAGCAGGAUUCAAAACUGCCUCACGUGACUGCUACCGAGGUGCAUCAUGGGGAAUUGGCGGUUAAC
Oreochromis aureus is the source of this 3245-nucleotide long non-coding RNA. The record is from Ensembl. Lineage: Eukaryota; Metazoa; Chordata; Actinopteri; Cichliformes; Cichlidae.